UGUAUCAUAUGCUUUUCAAUUUAUAUCUUUACAAAAACAUUUCCCUCACUUUUCUCUUUCUUCCUCCUCCUCUAUACGAAACCCUGGCAGUUUCCUUCUCUCUCCACUUUCAGAGCAACAUCUCCCCACUAACACCGAAUCCUUCAUUCCCUCUUUCAUUUCGCCACAUUCACCUUGCAGAAAGAGAGAUAGACCAUGGAUCUCCAACCCCUUCUUCCUCCCUGUUUUCUCUCUUCUUUCUCCAUAAGUUUUUCCCUCUCUUGAUUUUUUUUAUCAAAAAUUUGAAGAUAUUUUAUAUCUUUUGAUGUUUUGGUUUUAGAAUUUGUUUUCUUCAGUGACACUUUGUAUCUUUUAAUGUUUGGUUUUAGAUUAGUUUUCUUCUUCACAUAUCUAUGGAGUGAUUUUUUUUUUGCGUUUUUGGAACAAACAAUUUAGGGUUUGCUAAGAAAUUAUGUUUUUACUAUGUAGAUCUUAAUAAUACUGAUUUGAAAUUAAGUUUCUGCUCUCCGAAUCUAAAUGUAUCACAAAUGUGUUUUUUUUUGUGUUUUGAUUGGUCUGAAAAUAUGUAUUUUUUAUGUUUAAAUGGUGGGAUUUGAGUAACACAGUAUGAGUUUUUUGCCGCUGUUGUUGAUUUUGGAGUCUCUUUCUCCAAUGAUUUUGGUCAAACUUUAUGACAUUGUUAUUUUGAUUGUGGACAAACUUUGGAUAAACAUAUUCAGGGGAUUGAUGAUUGAAGAGGUAUGAUGAAAUGUAUAUAGGUUUUUUUAUGUUAAGUUUCUAUUAAACUGGAUGGAUUAAACAUAUUCAGUUACAUUUUAAACAUGGCUGUUAUAAUAUGACAACAAAUGGACAAUUGAAAUCAUCAUCAAAUAUUCAGCAACAGACCCAGCAACAUGGCUGUUAUGAACUUAUUUUUGGGAACACUUAAAAUUGUGGGAGGUUCAUGUUGAUCUUAGGUGGUUUUCUUUCCAAGCUGCAGGUUUUUCAGCAAAUCCCUGGGACACUGUUGGUGAAAGGUUCAGUACAAGAUAAGAAUAGCUCGUUAUCAGGAGCAUUCUCUGAUUUUUGUUAAGCUGGAAGAAACAUUGGGGAAUAAAUUUUGUACUAGAUCAGUAUAAAUUUUGAGAAGUUCACAAGUGCUCAUUUCUGGGGUCAGGAUUUAAAGAAAUCAAGUGAAGGUGUUGGUGUAAAAAAAGGAAAUAGUAGAAGGCAACAAUAAAACACUCAUAGCGAUUCCGCUCGUGAAAAAUUUGAUCGAUAAUGCAUGUGCUACUGAAGAUGGGUAUUCUAAAGUUGCAAAUGAUUGUUGAGCAUGCUCAAUUGAAUAUGUUUGACAGAAUAAUCAAGUUUGUUGUCGUUAUAUCCUGUUGAGUACGAUGCAGUUCAUUUGUUAUGGUUGCAAAUGAUUGUUGAGUCUCCUCGUGCAUUCUAACUGUCGGACAUUCCAUAGAGUUGGUGCAUCUCUUUGCCUUUAUUCUCAAACCAAAACUUUGACUGUAAAUUUCUUUCUUCAAAUUUGAUCCCAAAGGAGAAGCUUUUGUUCUUUAAGCUUUGAGUAUCUACAUAUCUUAGCUUUGCUUUUCUGCAAAAUUAGAAAAUCAUGCUAUGAAUUGAAUAAACUUCAAAUUAAAAAGUAACUAUGGUCUGUUCCAUUUUCUUAGUUAAGUAACUCUUCAAACAUGUACAUUGUUGUUCUCUUUCUACAUGUCCAACAAUAUUUUCUUCUUAGAUAUUGGAUCUAAUGUGAAGUUGUGAACUCAGUUGAUGCAGAGAUUUGCAUAGUACCUAAAACAAAGGAAGCUUUAUUAAGAAACAUCAGUGAAAUUCAUUAUGUUAAUGUUGCUUUGAACUCAACUGGUGACUACUUAACAAACUGUGAUGUGUUUGACAGGAUCUCGAGAAGGCUUGUACAAGAGCUCCUCGACUGCGUUUUAUCCUUCACGGAACACCGAGACAAUGGAUUCCCAAGCAGGGAGACUGGAUAGGAAAGGAGAAGGAUGAAAUGUUGCUUCUGCUUAAAUCAGAAGUUGUAAUUACAAAACAUUGCAGUUUUAAUUCGGGUAGUUCUUCAUUUAUCUUCUUCAUGAGAACAUUUUUAAUCACAACCCAUUUCUCUUAUCCAUCACCUAAAUCUUUACACUAUCAAUUAGUCACUAUUAGUUAAUCACAUAGUUUAAUCAAUAAAAAUAUUUGAUUUUAAUCAUAUGUAUCUUAACAUAUGUGCAAAAGAUUAACUGUAUGCCAACCUUGGGUCUAUGUAACAGCUAGAGUGAAGAAUGGUUAUCCAUCAGUACAACACACUUCAUGGAUGGUUAAUAGCAUUUUGCUGGCAUGCCCUUUUUUCUUUUUCUCUCAAAUUUUCUUAACUUCUUAAAUGUGUUCGAUUGGUGGUUUGUGUGUUCUGCAAAUAGUCGUUGUAGACUAAUGGCCUCUACCACUGCCUAUGCAACAAACAUGUGAAAUUGUUUUUCUUCUUGGUAAACUAUUUAAGUGAGAUCAUUCCUUAUAUGUCUAUUUUAUUUCAGUGGAAUAUUCUUGAACCUUCGAGCGUUAUCCAUGGUAUUGACUAAACCCUGAAGAAAAUGAGAUUCCAAUUAUAGUCUUGAAGUUAAGUAGAUGCUCCUGAUUAAUAGUAGUUUGUUGUCAUUUUCUGUGUAGUUUUUGAUAUAGAGAGAUAUGAAACACUGAUUAAGGAAGACAUGUUUCAACAUUUUUUAUGAAACCUUUGUACAUGAGACUCGUAUAAUAUUAUAUUUGGAAAGUUACUGCAAGUAGUUUUUCUUACUUUUAAGACCAUUUGUAAGUUAGAUGUGCAUAGUUAUUGUGCUAUGACAAAUUUCUGAACAAAGUCAUUAUUUCUCAAACAUAGGAGAUUUAUAAAUAUAACAUCACAAAUUUUCAAUGAUGAUGUCUAAAAUUCAUGUAUAUGUCAUGUGAACCUGAAAUAAAUUUUUGGCUUCAUUUACAAGUUCAAAAAUAUUGAUUCCUUAGUGGUCAGAAAAUAAAUCUUUUAACGUGUAUUGCAGACCACAUAUAAAUAAUUAAUAUUUAAAACAUUUCAACAUUAAAUAGGAAUACACCUUUCAACUAGGAUUUAAAUUACUUCAA
Molecule: long non-coding RNA, 3108 nt
Organism: Vicia villosa (hairy vetch)
Lineage: Eukaryota; Viridiplantae; Streptophyta; Magnoliopsida; Fabales; Fabaceae
Exons: 3
Source: RefSeq, a predicted model, not a curated record